CAGACUACACAACCCUGCCUAGCCCUUGGUGUGUCUGUCCCUAGUGGCACACUAUAUAGUGCACUAGUUUUGACCAGAAGUGGCACACUAUAUAGUGCACUAGUUUUGACCAGAAGUGGCACACUAUAUAGUGCACUAGUUUUGACCAGAAGUGGCACACUAUAUAGUGCACUAGUUUUGACCAGAAGUGGCACACUAUAUAGUGCACUAGUUUUGACCAGAAGUGGCGCACUAUAUAGUGCACUAGUUUUGAUCAGAAGUGACACACUAUAUAGUGCACUAGAUUUGACCAGAAGUGGUGCACUAUACAGGGUUCCAUUCAGGAUACACCCUUCGUAAUAAGAACAGUUCCUCCAUGCAGGUUUUAAAUACAUCUUCUGACUCUUUCAUACAAUGAGCUUUUCCCUGUAGAGCAGAAAGCUGAAAGGUCAUAUUAUGAAAGGCGUCACAAACACCAGCAGAGGUUGGGGCUAGAAGGUUCUAUCUACAUAUACUACACAGUACUCUAAAUACAAUGUUCUCUACAUAUACUACUCUAAAUACAAUGUUCUCUAUAUAUACUACUCUAAAUACAAUGUUCUCUAUAUAGUACUCUAAAUACAAUGUUCUCUAUAUAGUACUCUAAAUACAAUGUUCUCUAUAUAUACUACUCUAAAUACAAUGUUCUCUAUAUAGUACUCUAAAUACAAUGUUCUCUACAUAUACUACUCUAAAUACAAUGUUCUCUAUAUAUACUACUCUAAAUACAAUGUUCUCUAUAUAGUACUCUAAAUACAAUGUUCUCUAUAUAGUACUCUAAAUACAAUGUUCUCUACAUAUACUAUAUAGUACUCUAAAUACAAUGUUCUCUAUAUAGUACUCUAAAUACAAUGUUCUCUACAUAUACUAUAUAGUACUCUAAAUACAAUGUUCUCUAUAUAUACUAUAUAGUACUCUAAAUACAAUGUUCUCUACAUAUACUAUAUAGUACUCUAAAUACAAUGUUCUCUACAUAUACUAUAUAGUACUCUAAAUACAAUGUUCUCUAUAUAUACUAUAUAGUACUCUAAAUACAAUGUUCUCUACAUAUACUAUAUAGUACUCUAAAUACAAUGUUCUCUAUAUAUACUACAUAGUUCUCUAAAUACAAUGUUCUCUACAUAUACUACAUAGUACUCUAAAUACUAUAUUUUCCACAUAUACUACACAGUACUCUAAAUACUAUGUUCUCUACAUAUACAGUACUCUAAAUACAAUGUUCUCUACAUACACUACGUAUAUAAUACUCUAAUAUACACUAUGUAUAUAGUACUCAAUUCAUGAGUACCACAAUUCCCAUAGCCAACACCGUUCAAACCAAUGAGGGUUCAGAACUCGAAAGCCAAUUAUCUCAGAAUGAUCUUUUUGCAGAUAGACCCUUCUAGUCCUCAGCUCUCGAUAUGCUGUAUAAGGCUUCAAUACAUCUUAUUAGUUAUACAGUAGUACCUUUCAUCGGCUUUAAAACAUCCCCAA
RNAcentral lists this long non-coding RNA (1491 nucleotides) under Oncorhynchus kisutch (coho salmon). Its description in RNAcentral is "lncRNA (ENSOKIG00005016629.1)". The record is from RNAcentral. Lineage: Eukaryota; Metazoa; Chordata; Actinopteri; Salmoniformes; Salmonidae.